UGUUAAAAACGGGGUGUUAAUCAACACACUAAAUUUUAUUGGUGAAUGUCAGUGUGUGUUAAUGAGCACCCCAGUGUUCACUAACACACGAAGUGGGUUAACAGAACACACCAACUGAGUAGUGUGUAACGUAACACACACACUUCACGUAAAGGAACACACUGAUACCCUAGGCCCAACUGUAAUUCAUACACACUAUGCUUUUUACACCACUGUACAGGCAAAACAGCCCAGAGAUUAUGUCACAAUUAUAAAACUUAUAAUCGAUAACAACAAAUAUCUACGCAACAAACUUUUAUGGAUAACCAUUAAACAAAAACAUAUUAAAGGUUUCAAGUUACUAUAGCAGUUAAUCUUGUGAGUAAACCACAGCCAGCUGCACCUGCACAGAGAAUUAUAUGAGUAUGAGUACAGUGGUGUAAUAAUACUACAUUUCAAUGCUGCUAUAACAAAUGGGAGCCAGCUAAGAGAAAAUCAGUUCAUAUAAUAUUAUAUAUAGCUUGGUCCAGUGUAUAAAAUUGACAAUGGGGGCUUGAGAGAAUUUGCAUACUGAAUAUAUCAACUUUUUAACUUAUCUUUAGUAUAUCCUGCUGUUCUCUUGGCUCUCAGAGCAGCCUGGAAAGACUACUGCUGCAUUCUCUGUCUCAUCUUGUACCAUGUGGCCACUGGCUCUGGAUCACAUGAUCAAUUUUCCUGCUAUCUAAUUAUAGAACAGAUAAACUAAUUAUAGAAUGCGCAUGCGCAGCAGUGCAGUUGCCGUAGCAAUCUUCAGAGCAGCUGCUUUUCUUUUUGAUCAAGUCCACUACCAAGUCUAGUCCUGAUCCUUUGAGAAGUCUUUAGACCCGUACUGUUCUAUGCAUUCAGAGUUCAAGGGGAAGAGAAGUUUUCAAGUCAUAAAAAACAAACGGGCAUUAAGUUGAAGGUCAAUUUCCAGCCACUCUAAAGCUGUUGUGAUGCUACUGUUUAGGUGAGUUUUUAAAUUGUAAAGAUGUUAAUCUUCUAUAGAUAAUAUAAUUAUGAGGUUUUUGUCAAGUUAAGUCCCUUCACACCGUGCUGUUCUUUGCUCUAAAGGAGAGCAGAAGUAUCAAGUCAUCAGCACAAAAGAAAAAAGGUCCGUCAUAAAGUUGGACGUCAAUCACUCUGAAGCUGAUUGUAACGCUGCUGUUUAGGUGGAGCGCUGUUAAUGUUGUCAAAUCUUUGCGAGGGAGCAGAAAUCAAACAUGCAGAGGGUACCAAACGAUGUAACUAUUUUGUACACUUUCUUAGAUAGAUUAGUCAUAGGAUGUUUUACUUCGUUCACUGUUAAUCAUUUAAUUUGAAGUAUGCUGUAUCAAUGCAAUGUCUCUUGUUGCUAUGACAAUGUGAUGUACUUGUAA
Molecule: long non-coding RNA, 1376 nt
Organism: Halichondria panicea
Lineage: Eukaryota; Metazoa; Porifera; Demospongiae; Suberitida; Halichondriidae
Exons: 4
Source: RefSeq, a predicted model, not a curated record